UACAACCCUGAUGAAGAUGCAACACUAUAUACAAUUACUGAAGCACCUUGAUAAGGGGAAAAAUUAUAGCUAGAUGUACGAAACUAACAGAAUAAAAUGAAGCGAUGCAGAGGUUUUUUUUUUUUUUUUAAUGAAAGGCCAAUUAUUGCUUGCAAAGGCUUGCAACAAGUAAUCUAAACAAAAAUUUGAUCAUAGUCUAAAUAUUGCAAAAAAAUGAAUAUUUUUUGAACAUUUUCAUGAGAUAAUAACUCCACUUCCGUUUGCUAUUCUUGUUUGAACUUGCUAACCAACGUAAAUUCUUUUUCUGCCAUUACAUUUUGCCAGAACUUUCCAUAAUUUUUCCAAGACUUGCUGGUUUUAGCCAUAGGCAAGCUUCCACAGCAUAUGCAAGAAUCAAAGAUAUGAAAGACUUCCAAAUGACGCACCAACCUCAAAAUACUUGUCCCUUUGUGUUACCACACCAUAUUUGCUAGAAUUUGACUCUCUACAAACGAAGUUGCAGAAAAUUGAAAAGUAGGAAAAUGCAGUGACUAAUUGCACAUUUAUCUGUUUGGACCCCUUUUAGGACAGGGCUAGAACAUUCCUUUUUGACAAAAUUACAGCAUUCAGAGGCGGCUAAAGAUUUUCAUCUUAGCCCUGGUUAAAGCUUCCCACCAAACGCAAAGAGAACGAGGUAAAAAAAAAAACAUGAAAACUUCGAACCGCACUGCCCUGAACGAUGAAAACCAAAUCGGAAAUACGCUAAACCAGAUCCGAACAGUUACCUUCUCUGACCAAACACACAGAAGAAGAUUCCAAAAGCAUUCUGUACUGAAUCAGCCGGAAAUCUGAAUUACCUGAAAGUCGGCAAAAAACUUGAAACAUUCCGCGAACGAGAGCUGAGACAAUGAACGACGGACUGUAGUCGAUUUUGCAAUGUGGAAGUUUAAGGGUCUCAAUUCGUCGACUGAGAGAGAGAGAGAGAGAGAGAGAGGGGUUCGAUCUUGGAGGUUGGUCGGAAGAUCGACGAAGAGGAGAUU
Long non-coding RNA from Rhododendron vialii, 1019 nucleotides. RefSeq lists it as uncharacterized. The transcript has 2 exons. The record is from RefSeq and is a predicted model, not a curated record. Lineage: Eukaryota; Viridiplantae; Streptophyta; Magnoliopsida; Ericales; Ericaceae.